GCAAGGAUACGAACCCAGGACUGGUUUACCAAAUCAAAUCAAAUGUUUAUUCAGGUAAAAGUACAUACCUAGAACAUGAGUUACAAACAUAAUGUUGGAUUUAUAGAGAGAGCUAUCUAUACCAGGGGACCAUAAUUUCUGUCUGAUGCAGCCUACUCUUUGUCCUACUGUUUCCUUUCCCGUGAACUUCCCUUGAAAACCGCUUCUCUCCAACAACGAGAAUUAUGCAAAUGAUGAGCUACUAAAUAUUAUAGUUUACCCAAAAGUGCCAUCAAAAGAAAAUGUAAAGUUUACUACAGGAAUGUAUACGUCCUAAGUAAUCACAACAACAACAGCUUUUACCGACAAGUAUUUAGUUGAUAAACCCUUCAUGCAAACUGCACCUACUAUCAAGAAGAAUCGCUGUACAUUGGAAGAAAACUCCUGCAGUCAUCGUUAGGAGAUAACUUUAGCAUAUGAAGUAUAAGGCAAUACCCAAGUCUAAUUAUUCUAGCCAUAAGCAGUGCUGUCUUCAGGGCAUUGUAUGUACUAGCUCUAUCUAUAAAUCCAUCAACUUUUGUAUUUUACCUUGUAUGUAUGUACUUUACCUGAAUAAAUAUUUGUAUUUGUUGUUUGUACAAGUAUUUGUAUUUGUUGAGAUGCCCCAUAUCACAAAAUAACUGUUGUCAUCGAGAGGAGAUAGCCUUCAAUCACCAUGCAUGAGACUGCACGCAGGCUUAAUUAUACUAGUCAGUUGCAAUGAUGUGUCUUUAGGAGAGAGUAAGGUCUAAGAGCUGCAUAAUGCUUGACCCAGCCACGUUAUCUCUACUCUAUACAAAUCUAACCUAAUCUAUUCUAUUCUACCUCAACCUGAGCUAACCUUUAGCUCGGCUAACAAUUAUUAAACUAAUAAUAGAUAACUAUUAUUUAAUUCAUGAGAGAUAACUUUCACACAAACUGUACCAUCAUAAAUAAUAUCGAUAAAUCAUGAGUUUCCAGUGUGUGGGAAAAAAUUCAGUCAACUUGGAACUAUGAAGACUCAUAGGAUGGUGCAUGUUGGUGAUAAACCUCACGAAAGUUCAGAGUGUCACUCAGUUAGGACACAAAGACUCACAUGCUGGUACACAUGGGUAAUAAAUCUCACGAGUGUCCAGUGUGGGAAAAAAUUAAAUCGUGUUGGACAUUUGAAAUCGCACAGAAUGGUACAUACCAAGGAUGAACCUCAUAAGUGGCCAGAGUGUGGGAAGGCAUUUAGUCAUCUUGGACAUAUGAAGACACACUUGCUCAUACACAUAAGUGAGAAACUUCAUGAGUGUCCAGAGUGUGGGAAAAAAUUAAAACAUAAUGGAACUAUGAAGACUCACAGAAUGGGGGCCUACAGGCAAUAAACCUUUAGAAUGUGCUGAGUGUGGGAGAAAAUUUGGACACCGUAGCAGUAUAAUAAGUCAUGUUACUGCAUACAGGUGACAAGCCUCAUGAGUGUCCAGAAUGUGGGAAAAAGAGUCAGUCGUCUUGGUAAUAUGAAGAUUCAUAAUAUGGUGCAUACAGAUGAUAAGCCUUAUGAGUGUCCAGAGUGUGAGAAGAGAUUUAGGGAUCAAUGUAAUAUGAAAAGGCAUUUAUUAGCGCAUUCAGUCAAAUAAUAAGACUCACUUGGCCUGGUGUCUUGUUUUGAGGAAAAUUGUGUCUGUAACCAUUUUAAUUUUAAAUAGUACCAGUGCGUGUGUGUUUAAUAAAUCUUACAUGUUGCUCAUUUUGGUAGUAUUGCACGAGAUAACAUCACAUUAUCAGUUGGAUGUACUAUAAAGACCUUGUUAACAUAACCUGUAUUUAAGCUUAAUCUUCUCUUUUGUAGAAAUUAGAUGUCCCUCAUAGACCAAACAAGUACCAUGGAUGCUGGUUAUAAACCUCUGGAACUGCCUAUCUGCCGAAGCCGUAAAAGCCAAAACUGUUAAGUUUUAAAAUCUAUGUGGAAAAGAUCAUCAAGGCAAAUGUGAGGACGUUUGACAAGCCACUGGCUUCCUGUCCUCUUCAAGACCAUUAGGGUUAGUGGCCUUCAGGUAAAUCAGAUUUAUCUGUUUGGUACUGUAUAUUUCCUUGGCAGCUUUGUUCAGUUAAUUUAAAUCUAUGACCUCUUGUUCUUGACGUUCCAGGUCUCAGGAAUUAAAUUGCAUAAAGUGAAUUUUUGGCAAUGAAAAAUUAGAAUUAGAAUUCUAUAUUGUAAAUAGGAUAUCAUUAAUUAAAUAAUGAAAAUAUUGUUGGAACACAAUCUGAUCCAAAAAGGAGUAUGUGUGGAUGGGCAGAACACAGGAGGCAGUGAUUUGCAGAGCUUAUUGUGGUGUAUAUAAUUACUGGUUAUUGGAGAUCAUCUUAAUGUGUGUGCCCACACCUGUCUAACCUUAAGUAUAUUGUGCUACAUUCAAAAUGUAUAUAGGUGCUUUCUAAUUGUUAUAGUGUAUGAAGUUUUUGAUGUUCCCAGAAGGAGAGAGGCUAACCUUGUGGUAUCAUGCUUUCAUUGGAGUAAUAUUCUAUUUUCCUUGAUUAAUUUUAUACUAUCAAGCUAAUUAACUUCAUAGUGCCAUGUGCAAUGAUGUUUGUAUUAUAAUUUUGUAUGCUUUUCUAGGUUUGUGCAAGACAGCAAGCUAAAUAACAAUACAGAGUCAAGUGGUGGUAUUAUUACUAUAUAAUAAUUAAUUUUUUGUUGGAAUUUCUCCUGUUGUGUUGUAUCGUUCUGACAUUUUAUUCCAUGUUCUGUAGAGUUAACUAAUGUUUUAUUCCAUUAGUUAAAAACUGUAAAAUAAAUUCCUUGUUUGAACCAAAAUUGUAGUUUGGUUUAGUCGAUAUUAUCUAAUAUUCUAGUGUUGUAAAUUUUAUUUUGUAAUUUACUGCUUUUAAAUUCUUCCAAAUAAAAUGAUUAUGAUAA
This is a non-coding RNA of Procambarus clarkii (red swamp crayfish), 2899 nucleotides long. The record is from RefSeq and is a predicted model, not a curated record. Lineage: Eukaryota; Metazoa; Arthropoda; Malacostraca; Decapoda; Cambaridae.